AAGAAGAAGAAGAACAAUCCAAUUACAGACAUAUUAUCUUCUGUGAUUCUAAUCAGGGCAUUGAUACAUAUCAAAGGAAUCAAUGAACAAUGAAUGGAUGGAAUGUACUCAGUAUAGAAUGGUCACGAAGAAGGCUGGAGCUACUGCUGAGUGUGAUAAAACCACCAUUGAUGGGGAAUGUACUACUGUGUAUGUUUAUCUUAUUGAUCAUUAAAUAAAAUACU
Molecule: long non-coding RNA, 224 nt
Filed under: Cricetulus griseus (Chinese hamster)
Lineage: Eukaryota; Metazoa; Chordata; Mammalia; Rodentia; Cricetidae
Description: lncRNA (ENSCGRG00000024440.1)
Source: RNAcentral